This 459-nucleotide ribosomal RNA is filed under the name uncultured bacterium. RNAcentral's name for it is "partial 16S ribosomal RNA". It matches the Rfam family "Bacterial small subunit ribosomal RNA", at positions 338 to 795 of the family's 1533-position model. The record is from RNAcentral.
CCUACGGGAGGCAGCAGUGAGGAAUAUUGGUCAAUGGGCGGGAGCCUGAACCAGCCAAGCCGCGUGAGGGAAGAAGGUACAGCGUAUCGUAAACCUCUUUUGUCAGGGCACAAAGGCGGGGACUAGUCCCCGGAUGAGGGUACCUGAAGAAAAAGCAUCGGCUAACUCCGUGACAGCAGCCGCGGAAAUACGGAGGAUGCGAGCGUUAUCCGGAUUUGUUGGGUUAAAAGGGUGCGCAGGCGGCCUGUUAAGUCAGCGGUAAAAGCCCGGGGCUAAACCCCGGCGAGCCGUUGAAACUGGCAGGCUGGAGUUGGAGAGAAGUACGCGGAAUGCGCGGUGUAGCGGUGAAAUGCUUAGAUAUCGCGCAGAACCCCGAUUGCGAAGGCAGCGUACCGGCUCCACACUGACGCUGAGGCACGAAAGCGUGGGUAUCGAACAGGAUUAGAUACCCGGGUAGUC